GCGCAUGUGGUGGAAUGGUAUACACGCUAGUUUCAAAAACCAGUACCGCAAGGUUUGAGGGUUCGACUCCCUCCAUGCGCA
RNAcentral lists this transfer RNA (81 nucleotides) under Undibacterium pigrum. RNAcentral describes it as "tRNA-Leu". It matches the Rfam family "tRNA". From Rfam's summary of the family: Transfer RNA (tRNA) molecules are approximately 80 nucleotides in length. Their secondary structure includes four short double-helical elements and three loops (D, anti-codon, and T loops). Further hydrogen bonds mediate the characteristic L-shaped molecular structure. tRNAs have two regions of fundamental functional importance: the anti-codon, which is responsible for specific mRNA codon recognition, and the 3' end, to which the tRNAs corresponding amino acid is attached (by aminoacyl-tRNA synthetases). tRNAs cope with the degeneracy of the genetic code in two manners: having more than one tRNA (with a specific anti-codon) for a particular amino acid; and 'wobble' base-pairing, i.e. permitting non-standard base-pairing at the 3rd anti-codon position. Lineage: Bacteria; Pseudomonadati; Pseudomonadota; Betaproteobacteria; Burkholderiales; Oxalobacteraceae. The record is from RNAcentral.